GAUGAACGCUGGCGGCGUGCCUAAUACAUGCAAGUAGAACGCUGAAGCUUGGUGCUUGCACCGAGCGGAUGAGUUGCGAACGGGUGAGUAACGCGUAGGUAACCUGCCUCUUAGCGGGGGAUAACUAUUGGAAACGAUAGCUAAUACCGCAUAAAAGUCGAUAUCGCAUGAUAUUGAUUUGAAAGGUGCAAUUGCAUCACUAAGAGAUGGACCUGCGUUGUAUUAGCUAGUUGGUGAGGUAACGGCUCACCAAGGCGACGAUACAUAGCCGACCUGAGAGGGUGAUCGGCCACACUGGGACUGAGACACGGCCCAGACUCCUACGGGAGGCAGCAGUAGGGAAUCUUCGGCAAUGGGGGCAACCCUGACCGAGCAACGCCGCGUGAGUGAAGAAGGUUUUCGGAUCGUAAAGCUCUGUUGUAAGAGAAGAACGAGUGUGAGAGUGGAAAGUUCAC
Molecule: ribosomal RNA, 455 nt
Filed under: Streptococcus parasanguinis
Lineage: Bacteria; Bacillati; Bacillota; Bacilli; Lactobacillales; Streptococcaceae
Description: bacterial SSU rRNA
Rfam family: Bacterial small subunit ribosomal RNA
Source: RNAcentral